GCAUCAAAUUAUUCCUCACCCUACUGCUCCAGAUUCUCUCUCUCUCUCUCUCUCUCUCCCCCUCCCUCUCCCUCCUCCAUUUUCAUGCAUAUUUUCUCUCUCUUCCCUAAACCUUAAGGAAACGAAACACAGAAACCAAAGUUCUCAGUAAGCAACAAAAGCAGACUCUCAGAUGCCAUCUUGAUUCUCUUCACUACCAACAAAAAUACAGCCUUAACAUUCUCUCUCUUCCAUAUUCAUGAAGCUGUGAGAAAUCAGAUUCAAGUCGCUAUCAUGUUCGUUUUCCCCUAACGUGUGCAGAUUCUCUUAUGGAGGAGGAGGGAUAAAGAUUUUUCUGCAAUCUUCCGUAAGAAAUAAAAGAAAAUGGCUCCAGCUAA
Non-coding RNA from Camellia sinensis, 377 nucleotides. The record is from RefSeq and is a predicted model, not a curated record. NCBI's taxonomy places the organism in Eukaryota, Viridiplantae, Streptophyta, Magnoliopsida, Ericales, Theaceae.